Molecule: long non-coding RNA, 163 nt
Organism: Elgaria multicarinata webbii
Lineage: Eukaryota; Metazoa; Chordata; Lepidosauria; Squamata; Anguidae
Exons: 3
Source: RefSeq, a predicted model, not a curated record
CCUUAUGAAGGAAGCAGAGUUGGAAAAACAGAAUUUCAUCAAGCAGUUGGAAGAGGCAUCUAAAUCCUUUUUGAAGGAAUUCUGCAGCCUUUCCUGCGGCCUGUCCCGGUACCGACCCUAUGAAGUGGCACAGUGCAGAAACUGCCGACUUCUCAGAGUUUCC